Molecule: ribosomal RNA, 492 nt
Filed under: uncultured bacterium
Lineage: Bacteria
Description: partial 16S ribosomal RNA
Rfam family: Bacterial small subunit ribosomal RNA
Source: RNAcentral
AGUGAACGCUGGCGGUAGGCCUAACACAUGCAAGUCGAACGGCAGCACAGUAAGAGCUUGCUCUUACGGGUGGCGAGUGGCGGACGGGUGAGGAAUACAUCGGAAUCUACUUUUUCGUGGGGGAUAACGUAGGGAAACUUACGCUAAUACCGCAUACGACCUACGGGUGAAAGCAGGGGAUCUUCGGACCUUGCGCGAUUGAAUGAGCCGAUGUCGGAUUAGCUAGUUGGCGGGGUAAAGGCCCACCAAGGCGACGAUCCGUAGCUGGUCUGAGAGGAUGAUCGGCGACACUGGAACUGAGACACGGUCCAGACUCCUACGGGAGGCAGCAGUGGGGAAUAUUGGACAAUGGGCGCAAGCCUGAUCCAGCCAUCCCGCGUGGGUGAAGAAGGCCUUCGGGUUGUAAAGCCCUUUUGUUGGGAAAGAAAAGCAGCAGGUUAAUACCCCGCUGUUCUGACGGUACCCAAAGAAUAAGCACCGGCUAACUUCGUG